CAGAAGGUAGUUUAUAUAAAAUUCUAGUUUUGGGUAUUAGAGAAAAAUAAUUAUUUUCUUCUGA
This 64-nucleotide transfer RNA is filed under the name Tegrolcinia mirotibialis. Its description in RNAcentral is "tRNA-Pro". The record is from RNAcentral. Lineage: Eukaryota; Metazoa; Arthropoda; Insecta; Orthoptera; Tettigoniidae.